CGGCGGCUACACAUGCAGUCGAGCGGAUGACAGGAGCUUGCUCCUGAAUUCAGCGGCGGACGGGUGAGUAAUGCCUAGGAAUCUGCCUGGUAGUGGGGGACAACGUUUCGAAAGGAACGCUAAUACCGCAUACGUCCUACGGGAGAAAGCAGGGGACCUUCGGGCCUUGCGCUAUCAGAUGAGCCUAGGUCGGAUUAGCUAGUUGGUGAGGUAAUGGCUCACCAAGGCGACGAUCCGUAACUGGUCUGAGAGGAUGAUCAGUCACACUGGAACUGAGACACGGUCCAGACUCCUACGGGAGGCAGCAGUGGGGAAUAUUGGACAAUGGGCGAAAGCCUGAUCCAGCCAUGCCGCGUGUGUGAAGAAGGUCUUCGGAUUGUAAAGCACUUUAAGUUGGGAGGAAGGGCAGUAAAUUAAUACUUUGCUGUUUUGACGUUACCGACAGAAUAAGCACCGGCUAACUCUGUGCCAGCAGCCGCGGUAAUACAGAGGGUGCAAGCGUUAAUCGGAAUUACUGGGCGUAAAGCGCGCGUAGGUGGUUCGUUAAGUUGGAUGUGAAAUCCCCGGGCUCAACCUGGGAACUGCAUUCAAAACUGUCGAGCUAGAGUAUGGUAGAGGGUGGUGGAAUUUCCUGUGUAGCGGUGAAAUGCGUAGAUAUAGGAAGGAACACCAGUGGCGAAGGCGACCACCUGGACUGAUACUGACACUGAGGUGCGAAAG
RNAcentral lists this ribosomal RNA (720 nucleotides) under Pseudomonas sp. RNAcentral describes it as "bacterial SSU rRNA". It matches the Rfam family "Bacterial small subunit ribosomal RNA", at positions 40 to 759 of the family's 1533-position model. The record is from RNAcentral. Lineage: Bacteria; Pseudomonadati; Pseudomonadota; Gammaproteobacteria; Pseudomonadales; Pseudomonadaceae.